UAGAAUGUCAACAAGGGCGUAUGGUGGAUGCCUUGACUCUAAGAGGCGAUGAAGGACGUAGCAUGGCUGCGAUAAGCUUCGGGGAGGUGCCUAGCAACCUUCGAUCCGGAGAUUUCCGAAUGGGGAAACCCCUCCGCGUAAAUCGCGGAGAUCCGUCCAAAUUUUUAAGCUUUUAUUUUGUUAUGUAAUUAAUAAGGAGCCUCCAAAGAGGCCCCGGUUAGUAGCGUUGAUGCUACGCAAAAAACAUAAAAGUAACGAAUAGCGACAAGAUUAACACAAGAAGAAGAAGAAUGAUAAUUUUCAUCUGACGAUCCUCGGGCUUGUUCAUAAAGUUUGUGAAUUUAUCCAAGAGAAGAACGCAGAUAGUUGCCGUGAGAGCUCCAAGCGCCAUAUACCAGAGAAGGGUAAGCACGGGCAAGGAACUUGUAUUAGCAACUAUUCCAAACAUAAUCAUAAAAAGUAACCAUAUUUCAAAAAAUCCUUUUCGGGUUUGUGGGUUGCACAUCGCGCGUUCUCCUCAAAUCGUCACUAGUGUUAAUUUUAACAAAUCUACUUAAUUUUGUCAAGAGCUUAAAAAUUUGGACGGAAGCAGACCCAGGGAAUUGAAACAUCUUAGUACCUGGAGGAAAAGAAACUAAUUUGAACUUUUUAGUUUACGGGAGCGGCAAUCGCCUUCGUAAAUUAAAAAGUUCUCAGCAUUCCCUUAGUAGCGGCGAGCGAAACGGGAGAAGCUCAAACCCAGCACCACUUUUUGUUUUCAAGUAUACUAAAUUUAACAUGUGGAGUGUAUAUCUAAUUCAACAUUCAGAAACAAGAACAGUCUAUAUUGGAGUUACAUCGAGUUUAAAACAACGAAUCAGUCAACAUAACUCGAAUGUAAAUUAUUCAACUAGACGAAAAAAUGGUAAAUGGAUUCUUGUGUAUGCAGAAGCAUACAGAAACAAAGAAGAUGCAUAUCAACGAGAAGCGCGCUUGAAACAACAUGGUCGCGCCAAGCAAGAAUUAUUGAGAAGAGUAAAUCGAAGUCUAUUUUCUUGAAAACAAAAAGUGGUGCUGGGGGUUGUGGGGAAACAAUACGGGCGUAGCCCGGAAAGUCAUAAAAUAUUUUGAUUAGCAGAAAUCGCUGGAAAGCGAUGCCCAAGAGGGUAAUGGCCCCGUAUGCGAAAAUCAAAAUUUCUUUCUGAUUGUUUUACCCGAGUACCUCGAGACAUGAAUAGCUCGGGCGAAUCCGGCAGAACUAACUGCCAAAGCUAAAUACUCUUAGAGAUCGAUAGUGAACAAGUACCGUGAGGGAAAGGUGAAAAGAACCCCGGCGAGGGGAGUGAAAUAGACCUGAAACCAUAUGCCUACAAGGAGUCGGAGCCGAGCACCACUUUAGGCGUUAUCGUAUAAUAAAUUUUAUGUAUUAUACAUACGUUUUAAAAGGGAACUCAAAUCCUUCUUUUUACAUCGGUCAUACGGCUGAUUUAAAAAAGCGAACAGAAUAACACAACAAUAGUAAGAAUAUAUCAACCAAUCGAGGCAGACCCUGGAAGUUGGUAUAUUACGAAGCUUUUUUAAAUCUAGCACAAGCUCAAGACCGCGAGCGAAAAUUAAAACAACGUGGUCGAGCAUGGCAAGAAUUAAAAAGAAGGAUUGUAUAGUGCCUAAAGUGGUGCUCGGUGACGGCGUGCCUAUUGAAGAAUGAGCCAACGAGUUAAUAUGUGCGGCAGGCUAAGCCUUUCGGGGUGGAGCCAUAGGGAAACCGAGCGUUAAUAGCGCGUAUAUCGUUCGCAUCACAGUGCCUGUGAUGCUCACUCAAACAAAUGUAAAAAUCAAAACGCAAAACGUAAAAUUGUGGAGCGAAUUUCGUUACAACAAAAUUCGCAAGAAGUUUUUCGCCACAGGCGAAUCCGUAAUUUUUACUUUUGCACUUUACAUUUUGAAUUUGAGCGAGCAUCGCGCGUAGCGUGAUGCGAGCGAUUGUCGUACGUAUUAGACCCGAAACCAAGUGAGCUUGCCAUGGGCAGGGUGAGUCCCGGUGAAAACCGGGAGGAGGCCCGAACCAGUUGGUCGUGCAAUUCCAUUGGAUGACCUGUGGUAAGGAGUGAAAAGCUAAUCGAACUUGGUAAUAGCUGGUUCUCUCCGAAAUAGCUUUUGGGCUAGCGUCUGGCGAACCCUCUGGGGGUAGAGCACUGGAUGGAAAGAACAGGGAGAAAUCUCGUCUUUCCAAUCAAACUCCGAAUACCAGAGAUUAUUACCGGGCAGUUAGACCGUGGGGGCGAAGCUCCACCGGUCAAACAGGGGAACAGCCCCAAUCUCAAUCUAAGGUCCCUAAAUCUACAUUAAGUGCACUUAAGGAGGUGUAAUUUCUCUGACAGUGAGGAGGUUGGCUUAGAAGCAGCCAUCCUUUAAAGAAAGCGUAACAGCUCACUCACAUAGAGAUUGCGCGCCGAAGAUAAUCGGGGCUAAAUGUAGUACCGAAGGUGAGGGUUUUUUGUUCAUUCGUGAACAAGAAGCGGUAGGAGAGUGUUCCACUCUGCGAUGAAGGCAAAGGGGCGACCCAUGCUGGAGCGUGUGGAAGUAAGAAUGUUGGCACAAGUAACCACAAUGACGGUUAAAUCCCGUCACGCCGAAAGACUAAGGUUUCCUUGGCAAUGAUAAUCAACCAAGGGUUAGUCGGGCCUAAGCGAAUGGCGAAAGCCGAACGCGAUGGACACACGGUUAAUAUUCCGUGACCUGAAUAUAUUUCGAUGGGGCGACGAAGGGCAGUAUGUUGAGCGCAUUAUUGGAUUUGCGUUCGUGUCGUAAGAGGGCUCUUUUGGAAAAUCCGGAGAGCUCCGCCGCAAGGUGGAACUUCAAGCGAAGCGAAAAUUGUGCGGCCCUCGGGCCAAAUGAAAUUUAACAAAGCGCGCUUCCAAGAAAAACCUCUAAGAUUAAAUAUAUUCAGUCCGUACCGCAAACCGACACAGGUAGUCAGCUCGAGAAGAGUAAGGCGAACGAGUGAGAGUUUCCCAAGGAACUCGGCAAAUCAGCAGCCGUAACUUCGGAAUAAGGCUUCCCAGCACCACUUUGAUUUUAAAAAUUUGAAAUCAAAGUGGUGCUGGGCGCAGCGAAAGUAUCCCUGGCGACUGUUUAUUUAAAACACAGCUCCCUGCUAACUCGCAAGAGGAUGUAUAGGGGGUGAUGCCUGACCAAUGCCAGAAGGUCAAAUACGGAGGGUCUCAGGACUUCGGUUUUGAGGCUGGACUGUAUAAGCCCUGGUGAAUGUCGGCUCUAACUAUAAGAGUCCUAAGGUUCUGCAACUCUCGAACGAGGGUUUCAGGAGGACUGGGACUCUAUAUAGAGUAUUAAUAAACAGAAUAAAAUAUGUAUCAUUAAUAAAAAGCUACCUUUGCGUUUCGCAAGAUACGCAUAAGUCCAAUCACGGCUCACAUGAGAGGCCAUACGCCGUGCCCGAGCACCACUUUUUUUCAAAAACAAAAGUGGUGCUUGGUGAAGACAUGGUCCUUCUUGAGGAAUAGAAGAGCGUAAUUCCUUGUCUACUAAUUAUAGACGUGCACGAAUGGUACAACGACUGGGGGACUGUCUCGGGAAACAGCUCGGUGAAAAUACAAUACCGGUGAAGAUGCCGGUUACCCACAGCUAGACGAAAAGACCCCGGAAGCUUUACUACAACUUGGUACUGGGUGUAUGUUUUAACUGCGUAGCAUAGACGGGAGACGUUGAGAUCUUGGUUUCGGCUGAGAUGGAGUCGCCAGUGAAAUACCGUUCUGUUCAAAUAUAUAUUCUAACCUGUCGCGUCAAACGCGGCUGGGGACACUGCCUGGUGGGUAGUUUUGGUGGGGCGCCAUCCUUCAGAGCGCAGACUGACGCAGACUUUACGCAGAAAUGCGCGGAAGUUUUGCCGUUGGUUGUGCUUUGAAAUUAUGGCGCCUCAUGAGGUGAAUAGACUCGUACCUCAAAACAAAUAAAUUAGGGGGACCUAUCGCAGUAAUGCGGUAUGGAAAAAGUUGUCCCGAUUUUGUUCUCGCUGAAAGCGGGAUUACAAAAUCGUGGAUCCGUCAUAGCCGCAAGGCGACGGCGGAGUUAUAUGCUGGAAAAACCGGAGUAUAGAAAUGUACCAAUAAGUUUGAUACAGUUAACUUAUUAGUAAUAAUCAUUUCUUGCGGUUUAUCAGCAGGAAUUAAUAAAUAAAAUUAUGUCACCAAUAGAAGGCGGCGCAGGUGAUUUUGAGCGUCGCACAAUAAUAAAAGAGGGGCAAGACGCGUUACUGGGAGCUCUAAGUGAAUUACAGGAAGUACCAGUCAUGAGGGCGCUGAGCAGACUUGACUCGUUAUUUGAACAUAAUUCAGUUUUGAAAGCUUUUUUAAAAGCUGACAAAAAUAACGAAAAGAAAGUAUCAGAUGCAAUUAAAGCUCUUAGGAGCUUGCCAGAAGUACAAGCAAUUGAGAAAGCUUACGACUUAAUAAUGGAAGUCAAUGGCUCGCUCCCCAAUGUCUAAAAAAUAUUAAUUCCUCAGAGACUAAACACCAACCUGCUUACUUUUCUGCGUAAUUCUGCGUUAAUUCGGCGCAGUUCUGCGACGAGCGAAGCGAGUAGAUGAUAUAGUCCGAUCUUUGUGGCGACACAAAGAGGCAAACAGAAAUAUUUUGCCCACGUAAUGAUCGUUUUUCCGCGACUGUCUGCGUACAGUCUGCGUGAUUCUGCGGUUGUUACGGAGUAACAACAAUGCCUAAAAAGUAACGGAGGAGUCUAUUAAGGUCAGCUAGGCGCGAAUGGAAACCGUGCCGAUAGUGUAAUGGCAUAAGCUGGCCUAACUGCGAGACGUACAUGUCAAGCAGAUGCGAAAGCAGAGCAUAGUGAUCCGCAGGCCCGCUUUAGAUGCGGCCUAAGCUCAACGGAUAAAAGCUACUCCGGGGAUAACAGGCUAGUUCCGCCCAAGAGUUCAUAUCGACGGCGGAGUUCGGCACCUCGAUGUCGGCUCAACAUAUCCUGGCGGUGGAGAAGCUGCCAAGGGUUUGGCUGUUCGCCAAUUAAAAUGUUACGUGAGCUGGGUUAAAACCGUAGAGCACCUUUUGAAUAGUUUGCAAAGGAUGCUGUACAGUUUUAACCCAGAGGUUCUAGACAUCAUACACGGCGGCAUUUCGCAGUAAUGCGGGAUGAGAAGCUAACUAAUAUCGGUGAACCCUUCGACAGGCUCAGGGCAAGACCCUAAGUUUGUACAGGUAACACCGAGGGAAGUUGAAUUUCACGUUCAGCCCUCGUCUUCGGAUGAGGUGCUGGGGUGGAGAAGUCAGCAAAUUAAAACAGAUUCCGCGUACGCAUCUUGCCCGAAUCUAUGGAUUGUAAAUCCAGAGAAGUAGGCAAGCUGAAAUUGUUGGUGCGCCAACGAUGACAGGAUCUUGUAGUUCGCGUUUGGCAUUUGCCCGAGGGUGAGGAUAUCUGAAACGAAGUCCCUCGUAAUCAACCUCUGCUGAUUUCCCACUCCCUCCUUUUUCUUCAAAAAAGGAGGGCUGUAUGUGGAAUUUAACACCCGUAGAGACUGAAUGUUAGCCACCCUAAAUUUAUUGAAGGGUGAUGUUACAGUCCAAUCCACUCAGUAAUGAGUGAAGAUUCCGUUUAAGUUUAAGCGGAAUUGCAGAUGCGUGAGACAGGUUGGUCUCCUAUCUGCUGUGGGCGUUGAUUCUUGAGAGGAUUUCUUGACAGUACGAGAGGACCUCAAGGAACUAACCUCUGGUGUAUCUGCUGUCCUGCCAAGGGCAUCGCAGAGUAGCUAUGUUGGGAGUGGAUAACCGCUGAAAGCAUCUAAGCGGGAAGCCGGCCUCAAGAUUAGGAAUCGUAGAUCCCUAGGAGAUGACUAGGUUGAUAGGCUCUAGGUGUACGCGCAGUAAUGCGCUCAGCCGAGGAGUACUAAUUCAUCAAAAGACAUUCUAUU
This 5917-nucleotide ribosomal RNA is filed under the name bacterium. RNAcentral describes it as "23S ribosomal RNA". The stretch from base 1 to 3656 matches the Rfam family "Bacterial large subunit ribosomal RNA". The record is from RNAcentral.